AAGACCUUGCACUUUUGGAGCGGCCGAUGUCUGAUUAGCUAGUUGGUGGGGUAAUGGCUUACCAAAGCUUCGAUCAGUAGUUGGUCUGAGAGGACGGCCAGCCACACUGGGACUGGGACACGGCCCAGACUCCUACGGGAGGCAGCAGUGGGGAAUUUUGGACAAUGGGCGCAAGCCUGAUCCAGCCAUGCCGCGUGAGUGAAGAAGGCCUUCGGGUUGUAAAGCUCUUUCAGCCGGGAAGAAAAGGUUGUGACUAAUAAUCGCAAUCCAUGACGGUACCGAAAGAAGAAGCACCGGCUAACUACGUGCCAGCAGCCGCGGUAAUACGUAGGGUGCGAGCGUUAAUCGGAAUUACUGGGCGUAAAGGGUGCGCAGGCGGUUUUGUAAGUCAGAUGUGAAAUCCCCGGGCUUAACCUGGGAAUU
RNAcentral lists this ribosomal RNA (423 nucleotides) under uncultured bacterium. Its description in RNAcentral is "bacterial SSU rRNA". It matches the Rfam family "Bacterial small subunit ribosomal RNA", at positions 207 to 622 of the family's 1533-position model. The record is from RNAcentral.